CCCCCCUUCGGCCGGCCACCUUCCAACCUCCGGCUCCCCUUCCUCCACACCGGUGAGCAUUUUUUUGCUUUUAUUUUUGGAAUUUUUCUUUUAGUUUGUAUGCUAGCUUGUAUGCUUGUAAUAGUUUGUAAGAUAAAUCUCAUGCUUGUAAUAGUUUGUAUGCUUGUGAGAUAAAUCUUAUGCUUGUAAUAGUUUGUAUGCUAGUUUGUACGCUAGCUUGUAUGCUUGUAAUAGUUAUAGGUUAUAGCAAACAUUUUUUCCUCAAGCGACUGUAUUGACUUAGAAGUUACUGUACCAAAUUAGGCUAAAUUAACUUCCUAAACUUUGUUGAAUUAUGAGUUGCUAGACUAAUCUAUAAUUAGUUGCUUUCAGUACAAAUUCUUGUCGUUGUUUUAGUACAUAUAUGGCUAUAAAUUUCUGAUGUUCAUGUAGGAGUGACACCAACCUCGCCACCAUCCGUCUACUUCGACUACUUCGUCUACGGUGUAGCUACGUGAGCAUCUCCCUCAAUCUCGUCUUCCCCUUUUGCUCUGUCCCGGCCAUCUAGCCGAUGACACUUGUAGUUUAAAUGUCAAAGUCGCGUAACCCUAUGCGUCUCCCGUCC
This 604-nucleotide long non-coding RNA is filed under the name Brachypodium distachyon (stiff brome). RNAcentral describes it as "long non-coding RNA (BDIS_LNC004932)". Lineage: Eukaryota; Viridiplantae; Streptophyta; Magnoliopsida; Poales; Poaceae. The record is from RNAcentral.